GGUGAACGCUGGCGGCGUGCCUAAUACAUGCAAGUAGAACGCUGAAGGAAGGAGCUUGCUCUUUCCGGAUGAGUUGCGAACGGGUGAGUAACGCGUAGGUAACCUGCCUGGUAGCGGGGGAUAACUAUUGGAAACGAUAGCUAAUACCGCAUAACAGUAGAUGUUGCAUGACAACUAUUUGAAAGGGGCAAUUGCUCCACUACCAGAUGGACCUGCGUUGUAUUAGCUAGUUGGUGAGGUAACGGCUCACCAAGGCGACGAUACAUAGCCGACCUGAGAGGGUGAUCGGCCACACUGGGACUGAGACACGGCCCAGACUCCUACGGGAGGCAGCAGUAGGGAAUCUUCGGCAAUGGACGGAAGUCUGACCGAGCAACGCCGCGUGAGUGAAGAAGGUUUUCGGAUCGUAAAGCUCUGUUGUAAGAGAAGAACGAGUGUGAGAGUGGAAAGUUCACACUGUGACGGUAGCUUACCAGAAAGAGACGGCUAACUACGUG
This 497-nucleotide ribosomal RNA is filed under the name uncultured bacterium. RNAcentral's name for it is "partial 16S ribosomal RNA". It matches the Rfam family "Bacterial small subunit ribosomal RNA", at positions 28 to 507 of the family's 1533-position model. The record is from RNAcentral.